GAGGGUUUCCUCCUGAACAGUUUGAGGUUUUUCCAGCAACACGCCGGUCGAUCAACGAGAAGUACGGCGUGUUCUUCAGGUAGAAACCCAAACCGCUCGACAGGCGACAGGAGGGUCAAAUUGGGAUUUAGGGGGGAAUCGAAGAUACAGUAGAUCGAAGUGAACGCCGCCGUCGCCGAUGAGCGCGACGGAGAAGAAGAGCCCGGAGGCCCCGGAGGGGAAGGAGAAAUCGCCGGCGGAGGCGUUCCUUGAAAUCGUCGAGCGCACCCCGCUGGGGGAGGUGGAGACGGCGCUGAUCUCCUGCAACGUCGUCCCGACGGCGGAUGUCGCGGAGCAAGUGCUCAAGUCCGACAUCUGCUACUCCCGCCCUAAAUCCGCCGUCCGCUUCUUCCGCUGGGCGAGUAAGUCCUUAAAGCUCACUGCCUAUGCCUGGAAUCUCCUCAUCGAUAUCCUCGGCAAGGCCUCCAUGUUCGAGCCCAUGUGGGACGCCAUCCGCUCGAUGAGCCAGGAGGAGGGUGGUCUCCUCUCCGUCGCCACCUUCGCUUCCAUGUUCGCCUCCUACUGCUCGCGCGGAAACUUCAAGGACGCCGCCAGGGCCUUCGACGUCAUGGAGCUCUACGGCGUGCCUCCGGACGCCGUUGCCCUUAACUCCCUCCUCUCCGCCAUGUGCCGCCGGGAUGACGGCGCGCAGGCUGCCUUGGACCUGUUCGAACGCUCCAAGGGCAAGGUCGCGCCAGAUGCGGACACCUUCGCGAUACUGCUCGAGGCGUGGGAGAAGGAAGGGAAUGUCCAGCGCGCGAAGAGCACAUUCGGCGAGAUGAUCGUCCGUGUCGGGUGGGACUCCAGAAACAUCCCCGCGCAUGACGCCUUCCUCACCACGCUCGUGCGAGGGGACCAGUUCAAUGAGGCACUCAAAUUCCUGAAUGUGAUGCGGACCAACGGCUGCCUCCCGGGGCUCAAGUUCUUCGCCAACGCAAUCGACCUCGUCGUCCGCAAGGCAGACUAUGUCAACGCUAUUCCUAUCUGGCAAAUGAUGGUCUCAGAUGCGGGGAUUGUUCCCAAUCUCCCCAUGUACAACGCCAUAAUUGCCCUCUGCUCCAGUGUUGGUAACACUGACUACGCCUUCAACAUGCUUGAUGAAAUGCCCUUAAAUGGCGUGUUCGCAGAUUCCGUUACAUAUAAUGCCAUACUUGAGGGACUCAUCAAGCAGUGCAAGGCUCGUGAAACUGAGGGUUUCCUCAUGGAGAUGAGUAAAAAUGAGCAGCUGCCUUCCGCACCCAACUGCGCUGCUGCUAUCAGCUUAUUCUCUAAGGAAUUUAACCCAUCUGCGGCAAUUGAUGUUUGGCACUGCAUUGUGGAGCACCAAAUUACCCCAGCUGAGGAGUCAGCCAAAGAGCUAAUAACGGGGCUGCUUGACUUUAGCAGGUUUGCUCAGGUGAAGAUAUAUACCGAUGAGAUGCUUGACAUGGGAAUUGAGUUACCGCAGUCAAUCAUUGAAAAAAUGAAGCACACAUUUGAUAAGGCUGGCAAGCGCCAGACAUAUGACCAGAUUGCAAGAAGGCUGAAGCGGCGGUAGCAACACAUGGAUUGUAUAAUCAUCAGGCGUCAAGGUUUUCUAUUGGACCACUGGAGGUGUUACACUGGAUUACUAGUUUGGUGGUUGAAGUUCUCCUUCGCAAGGAAGAUAUUUGAAAAAGGUUGCGGAGAUCGACAGUGACAGUGCAAUCGAGUUGGAACUCAAAACAACAGAUGUUCGUUCCGCCAAGCUUGCUUAGGAUGGUGGAUCAUGGUCAACGGUUUAGGGCUCGCCAGAUCUAACAACAGCGUUACCGGUGAUGAUGAGCUUGAGGCGGGGAGAAGUGAGUGAGACAGAGAAGCUACCAAUGGGCUUUAUGCUGCUAGAGCAAGUCGUGGUUGCUGUCUUCAAAGUGAUGCGUCACACGUGGAAGGAGCGGAUACAAGUUUGGAGUUGUUUUGGACCAAAGAGGGUUUUUUGUUAGAUAUUUCCUUGGAGUUUCUUGCGAAAAAAGUUCUCCAAAUAGUUGUAAUGCUAAACUUGACUCUUCAUUUAGCUGUAUCACUAAUGGUGGUAGCAUAUCCUCGUCUGUGAUGUCCAAGGAGUAGCCUGUUGCCUUUUCUUUCUUGUUGGUCACUUGGUCUUUAAAUCUCUGCAGUAGUUGUUUGUUUUUUAAUGGAAAGAAAUAGAGAGGUUUCCCUUCCUACUCAAA
This is an RNA transcript of Brachypodium distachyon (stiff brome), 2228 nucleotides long. It is a transcript of the gene named pentatricopeptide repeat-containing protein At1g77360, mitochondrial, with no coding region annotated. Lineage: Eukaryota; Viridiplantae; Streptophyta; Magnoliopsida; Poales; Poaceae. The transcript has 4 exons. The record is from RefSeq and is a predicted model, not a curated record.